Molecule: long non-coding RNA, 2064 nt
Organism: Fukomys damarensis (Damara mole-rat)
Lineage: Eukaryota; Metazoa; Chordata; Mammalia; Rodentia; Bathyergidae
Source: Ensembl
CCCUUUUGAAACUACCCUGACGGCGAUGCUCUUUCCAUUUCUGUAGGAUCCUCUGAAGAGACCGUCUCACUAUGGCUUUUUCCUAAGAAUGUCCUGCUUCCCGGAUGUCAGCUGAAAUAGUCAGACCACCCUCUCGAGGAAUGGCUUCACCCUGGCUUUAGGUUGAUCAGAUCCUUCAUGAGGAGUUCCCACCAUCUGACUUCUCAAACAAGACCAAAGAUGACUCAGAAUAACUUUUGGCUGAUGGAAGAUGCAAAGCAUACCUCAAGGUCAGGAGAGCGUAUACUAACAAUUGUUUCGCUCCAGCAUGUUCUCUGGUUAGAUACUUACAAUCUGGUUCUUCAAGGGAUUCCGAAGAGACAACCUAACUCCACAUAGCUUCCUUCCCUUCUCACAUCACCUGUAACACUGCAUGGAUGGAUACUAAGGAAAAUUUUUGUAGAAAUUCGCUCUUUUAUCCUAAUAUCUGCUUAUAGACAGAGAUGAUGCAGAAAUGGAGUUGCUUCCAGUAGUUUCACCUGACUUUAGUAAACGUUGAUGAACCACUCAUUCAUUGAGUCAAAGUUUUUGAAUACUUAAUUUCCAGGCCAGGGACAUGGCUCAGUGGUACAACCCUUGUGUGGCAUAUGUGAGGCCCUGGGUUCAAAACCCAAGUGAAAAGAAAAAUCAAGAGAAAAAAAGAAAUGUUUGCCUCUAUGUACGGAAGUAAGGCUAAAGGUAGCCAUUUACUAGGUUGCUGAGAUGGAACACGCAGUGUGUGGAACGUACUUCCUUCACGUUCCUAUCAUCUGCCAAACUAGUGCUCAAGAGAUGCCACGAAGAACUGGAGACCGACGAAGACCACGUGAAUGGGAUGCCACGGAGGAAGAGUCACUGCCUCUUCCCACACUCUUCAUGUAGACUGUGGCCUUUGCUCUUGACUUUCCCAGCUGCUAGGCGGGCGUUUGUGCCACAGCUCAGUCUGCUCAAGGACAGCAAAGGGACAAAGGACUCUGGCUAGAUUUUUUCCACUAACCACUGAUACAAGAUCCUGAUAAGAGUCAACUGAUGGGCUUAAAAUCUUAAAAACUUCGUGGCAUUCUUACCUAAGGCCUGGUAUUAAUCUUUAAAUAAAUGUGCUACAUCAUGGUUUAUAUUAGUCUGGGUAGGUUUCAGUUCUUUGAGAACAAAUGUUUCCUGAGAUGACAGAGAACAGGGUCCAUGCGAGGGGAACUUCAUCAGGUGGACAGCUCAGAGUGGGGGACGUCUGAGGGAGAAGUGGCAGGUCACAGGAGUAUGGGAAUACACAGAGUGACCAAAAUAUAGGGUGAAUGUUUACAUUAAAACAGGAAUGACGAGAUAGGUGUGUCCAGAGAGGGGAGAAUUUUGAGGGGCAUUAAUUGCCACAUGUCUUUAAUAAUUUUUAAACAUUUUUAUCACACCUCUUACAUAGAGUUUUGAGAAUAACAGCAAGCAUUUCGGUAUGGAUAGAUUAAUGUCUGUCUAUGAGAAAGUAAUAAAAAAUGUACGGUCCAAAGGUGAUAAGAAUAAAAUUGCAAAGGAUUCUAUACAUCAAGCCAAGGAAUUUGGACUUUACCCUAAAUUUCAGGCAAUGAGAGUCCUUAUCAGAUCAGGCUGCACUAUGGGUUUUGGCUAAGAUCCCCUAUGUGUGUGUCUGUGGAAUAAGACAGACAGGAACAGCAUGCAGGCUGUGCCUGGCCUCAGUGAGGGCGGCUUGCACAGCUGCGUUUGCAUGGUGUCGCGCCCUGGAGCCAGGCAUCACCUGUGUUCCUGUCUGCCAGUGCGCAGUAGCUGGCCACACCCCAGGACACUGAAGGACAAUGCCUGGGGUGCGGGAUCGUGAAAACAGCUUCUUAAUUCUUCUAAAUUGUGGCUUUACAUAACUUCUGUAGCACUCCAUAGCAAAUAGUUUAGAGCUUGAUGAUUUAGGGGUAACCGUGCAAAGUGACAGCUGUGCACAUACCUAGUGGUGUGGAGCUAAUAUGUACAACCAUGUACAACAAUCACUUGUCCUAUCAACAAGUCCUGCUGACUCAGAAAGAUUGCUUUGCUAUUCAUGCCAAU